CUUUAACUCUGGCGGUAGGCCUAACACAUGCAAGUCGAACGGCAGCACAGUAAGAGCUUGCUCUUACGGGUGGCGAGUGGCGGACGGGUGAGGAAUACAUCGGAAUCUACUUUUUCGUGGGGGAUAACGUAGGGAAACUUACGCUAAUACCGCAUACGACCUACGGGUGAAAGCAGGGGAUCUUCGGACCUUGCGCGAUUGAAUGAGCCGAUGUCGGAUUAGCUAGUUGGCGGGGUAAAGGCCCACCAAGGCGACGAUCCGUAGCUGGUCUGAGAGGAUGAUCAGCCACACUGGAACUGAGACACGGUCCAGACUCCUACGGGAGGCAGCAGUGGGGAAUAUUGGACAAUGGGCGCAAGCCUGAUCCAGCCAUACCGCGUGGGUGAAGAAGGCCUUCGGGUUGUAAAGCCCUUUUGUUGGGAAAGAAAAGCAGCAGGUUAAUACCCCGCUGCUCUGACGGUACCCAAAGAAUAAGCACCGGCUAACUUCGUG
Molecule: ribosomal RNA, 492 nt
Filed under: uncultured bacterium
Lineage: Bacteria
Description: partial 16S ribosomal RNA
Rfam family: Bacterial small subunit ribosomal RNA
Source: RNAcentral